AUUGAACGCUGGCGGCAGGCCUAACACAUGCAAGUCGAACGGUAACAGGAAGAAGCUUGCUUCUUUGCUGACGAGUGGCGGACGGGUGAGUAAUGUCUGGGAAACUGCCUGAUGGAGGGGGAUAACUACUGGAAACGGUAGCUAAUACCGCAUAACGUCGCAAGACCAAAGAGGGGGGCCUUCGGGCCUCUUGCCAUCGGAUGUGCCCAGAUGGGAUUAGCUUGUUGGUGGGGUAACGGCUCACCAAGGCGACGAUCCCUAGCUGGUCUGAGAGGAUGACCAGCCACACUGGAACUGAGACACGGUCCAGACUCCUACGGGAGGCAGCAGUGGGGAAUAUUGCACAAUGGGCGCAAGCCUGAUGCAGCCAUGCCGCGUGUAUGAAGAAGGCCUUCGGGUUGUAAAGUACUUU
RNAcentral lists this ribosomal RNA (412 nucleotides) under uncultured Escherichia sp. Its description in RNAcentral is "bacterial SSU rRNA". It matches the Rfam family "Bacterial small subunit ribosomal RNA", at positions 30 to 436 of the family's 1533-position model. The record is from RNAcentral. Lineage: Bacteria; Pseudomonadati; Pseudomonadota; Gammaproteobacteria; Enterobacterales; Enterobacteriaceae.